UACCAGCACCCCGAGUGGUCUGGACGAUUAUUGGGCCUAAAGCAUCCGUAGCCGGUCAUGCAAGUCCUCCGUUAAAUCCACCUGCUUAACAGAUGGGCUGCGGAGGAUACUACAAGGCUAGGAGGCGGAAGAGGCAAGCGGUACUCAGUGGGUAGGGGUAAAAUCCUCUGAUCCAUUGAAGACCACCAGUGGCGAAGGCGGCUUGCCAAUACGCGCUCGACGGUGAGGGAUGAAAGCUGGGGGAGCAAACCGG
Molecule: ribosomal RNA, 253 nt
Filed under: uncultured bacterium
Lineage: Bacteria
Description: partial 16S ribosomal RNA
Rfam family: Archaeal small subunit ribosomal RNA
Source: RNAcentral